AUGUUAUCGUAAAUAAAUCGUAUACAUUUGAAAAUAUGGUUCAAACGUCUCUACCUCGUCACCGUAAAUGAUGAGACUACGAUGCAUACUUAGA
RNAcentral lists this non-coding RNA (94 nucleotides) under human gut metagenome. RNAcentral describes it as "Purine riboswitch". It matches the Rfam family "Purine riboswitch aptamer". From Rfam's summary of the family: Riboswitches are metabolite binding domains within certain messenger RNAs that serve as precision sensors for their corresponding targets. Allosteric rearrangement of mRNA structure is mediated by ligand binding, and this results in modulation of gene expression. A class of riboswitches that selectively recognises guanine and becomes saturated at concentrations as low as 5 nM. The record is from RNAcentral.